UUAAUCUAACUUGUGGACAAUAGAACAAUUAUAUACUUAAGCAAAAAUAAAAAUUACAAAAAUGCCCCUAUGAGUCUAACUCUAGCCCAUCUUCUUCCUUCCUCCAUUUUCUUUCUCUGGCAAAUUUUUUUUGAAGUGUUCACACAUGAAAUCAAACACUUCAAUUCAAUACUACAACGCUCAUGUCAGAAAUCUUCUUCAUUAGUCAAUAAAGCUUGCCACAAUAUCUCACAAAAUCUGGAAGAAGCCUCAAAGUUUGAAUUCUCAAUCUUCCUCCAUUAAUGUUUCUUGACCCAAGUUCUUUUUUUCAAAGGUUAAACUGAUCAACAGUAGGAGCAUAGCUUCCAAUAAUUUCUAUAAAUACCGAUUGAUUUCCAAGAUUUGCCAACACAAACAAAACCAAAAAUCAGAACUUUGUUAACCAAAAAUACCACAAAAUACAACUUCCUUGUUCCCUCUGUUUUUGGGCGAGCUCCACCGCGCCACCACCAACGACCACCCUCGCUCACACCUUCCUCUCUCGCUCACCUCACGCUGUAUCUUCCCUUUCUCUGUCGUUGCUGCCACCGCAGAACAUUUCCGGCGAUGCAGCCACGCUGCAACCACGCCGCAACAACCCCUCCGCCAGCCCAGCCACCUUUCUUUCUCUCGCAGCACCCUACUCUCUCCGCGAACCACCUUCGACGAACCAACCUGACACCUUCAAACUCGCCGCUGCAGCCUCCAUUUCCGGCGAAGCUUCUCGUCGCCCUUCGCCCCUUCCUUUGUUUCUGCCGCAAGAUUAAGGAAAAAGGGAUAUUACAAGCCUCCCCCGGCUAUCAAAGUUACUAAGCAGGAUUUGAGGUAAUGACGGGGAUGACGGAAUGGCGUAGCAGUGAGGAAUAAUUACUACUUAAAUUAUGCAGACUCUUACUAUUAUGUAUUCUAAGCUUAAGAACAUAAAUUUGUGAACCUUAACUAUAUUUCACCUAGUUAUUUAUGCAUUUCUAAGUUAGUUAUGAAGUUUAAUAUUUAUAAAGUUACGUACUUUAACGAACUUAUGUUGCCUUGUAUUUUCCAAAAGGAAAGUACGGCAGUAACGCACCGACUAAGUUAAGUCUUCCGCUGCUAAUUAAGAGUUAAUUAAUGAACUAACGAUGCUUAGAAGUCGGGGCGUUACAAUUAGUAAAUUAAAAAUGAUUAAAGUUAAUAUUUAAAUAGUGUAAAAAGUCAAUAUAAUGCAUGGAUUAAAAAAUCGAGAAAGUAUAUAAUAAUGAUAAUAAUAUUAAGGAAGAAAAUAUAUUUCACAAACUUAGAUGUGAUCAACUGGUAGAGUCGAGUUUUAACAAAAUAUAAAAAGAGCUUGUACUAACUACUAAGCUUGUUAGCUAUACAAAUUUUAGGUGCUUCUAGAGCACCUAAAACUAUAUUUAUGUGCUUUCAGGCACCAUUUUUUUUCCACAUUUGUUACAUAAAUGAGCAAAUGUAAAAUGUAAAAGUUUAAGAUAUGCAAAAAAUAUGUGAGGGAGUACAUAAAUAUAGUUAUAGUCGUCUAGAUGAUCUUGUAGCACUAUGAGUUUGGUUCAUAUAUAGUGGUAUGUCUUUGGAAUCAGGAACGAAAUCAUGGUGGUAUAGGUUUGAAACUUGAUACCUAAUACUAUGGCUAUGUUUAGUUCACCUGAAAUUUUCUGAUCUGAACUUAUCUGAUCUGAUCUGAACUUAUUUUUUCUGAUCUGAUCUGAUCUGAACUGAUCUGAUUACAAGAUCAAUUUUUUUAGAUUUUUCUCAAUAUAUAAGAAAAAAUAUAGUCAUGUGGGGUCUUGUUUGAUUCUUCUCAAUGAGUACUUUAUUAAUAUUCAAUUAUUAUAAUUUUUACUAAUAUGUUAUGAAAGAUAUAAUGAUUUUUAAAUAUAAGCAAAAUCUGAACUGAUCUGAUCUGAACUUAUUUUUUCUGAUCUGAUCUGAUCUGAUCUGAUUAGAUCUGAAAUAAGCAAAAAUAAGGUGAACUGAACAUAGCCUAUGUGUUUGGUUUUAUUUGAGGUUGGAAUUUUUUCUUCUAUUUAAUACCUGGAGGUAUUAGUAUGAGCCAAACCCACCUCCCCCAUUGGAUUUCUAAACCCCAGACCUUAUGGGUUUGAUGUAUGAGUUUUAAAUCUAUCAAAUUAUUAAACAAACACUAGGUAUAAGUUUUGCUCAUUCUAAACUCAUAUCUCAUACCAAAAUCAUAUGAACCAAAAACUCCCUAAGUUGGUUACGCCAUACAGUGUUUUUGGAGCCUAGACAAACAUACGCCGAACUCUAGGCUAGAAUCAGGCUCAAAUAAGGUUAGGUUGGGCCAAAAUAGAUCAACUUUAAUAAAUUACAAGAAAAAAUAAUAUGCAUAAUUAGAGGUGGCAAACGGGUUAUACGGGUCGAAUUGUGUCAUAAAUGGAUCAACUUUGUGUCCAAGUUUUGGCCGGGUCGGGUCCGUCCGGGUAUGAGCCCACCUCGGUCCCAUAAAAUUUCGGGUCAUAUCGGAUCGGGUUUAAAUCGGGAUUUCAAUCUCGCAAAUAGAUAAAACACAUAUAAGACUAACAAGAGUAAUUUAGAAAGUGACUAAAUCAUAUACAGUUUUUUAUAACGAUUUUUUCCUUAAAUUUGUUUAAAAAGUAACUAAUAUAACAACUUUUCAGAUCAUCUCCGGAUCAUCAUUGUCGGGUCAAUUUCGGAUCGGGUAGAUUCGGGUUCAUGUCACAUUCGAGUCUAUUUUUACUUUCAGGUUAGGGUCGGUGUCAAAUUAUUCAUGUUUCGAUUCUGUUUUGGGUCACUAUUUCCGGAUGGAAACGGGUCUCGUGUUGGGUCAGCAGGUGCAAGUCUUUUUUUUUUUUUUUUGACAAUUGGGAAAUUUGCAUAAAUAAACGAGAAAGUUUACACACAACUUGGAUUAUUAGUGACCCUUACAAUACUUAGAGGCGAAAUUAAAAACAAAUUACAAGACAUUAAGUAGGCAGGAUUAGGGGUGAGCAGAAAUUCCGAAUCUGAUCUGGAUCUGGGUCCAAGAAAAUGGACCAAGUUGCAUCUGGUUCCAAUUCUAGGUAGAAUUUUGUCGGACCCGGUACUUGGUGGGUACCAGGUUCCGCUCUGGGUACGUGGUUGGAGCGGGUUUAGGUCCGGAUACCCGGUGCUUAGAAUUGGUUUUUUUUUUCAUAUACUCGUAUAGAAUUGGUAAUAGGAUAAUAGUUGUUAAGUAAAAAGUUAGUACUUAGUAGGUUUCUAGGCCCAUUUAAUUUUUGAAAAAUUUUUAUAGCUCAAUUGGCCCAUCUUUAGUAUGUUGUUAAACUUACAAAUAGGUACCCAGUCAGGACCCGGUUAGACCAAUUCCAGAUUUUUAAUACCCAUUGGGUCCGAGUAUGGGUCCGGGUCUAUGAAAUUUUACCGGGUACCCAGUUGUGCUCACUCCUAGGCAGGAUACACCCUUUUAUUGGACCAUUGAUUGUUGGGAUGGCUCUGUUUGCCGGCUAUAUGCAUAAUUCUAUUUUUAUUUUUAUUUUUUUGAUUGGGAAAUUAAGUCAGCCCAAGGGCUAACUCCUACCAAGGCUACUAGCACAUUAACUAGUAAAGCAUGCAAAACAUGUUAAGAAAAUACCCCAACAUAAUACUGGGGGGUAAGGAUCGAACCCCUGACCUUAUAGAUCAGAGGGGAGUGCUCUACCACAUGAGCUAGCUCCUCAUCCUUAUAUGCAUAAUUCUAUAAUACCCACUCUGUCGUAUAUAGGAAAUUAGUCUCCUUCACUCAAGGAAAUCCCGUAUUACAUGCAUAAUUGCAUAUUAUUAUCCAUUAGAAGUUAGAACAACUAGUUUUAUAUUAGAUUGAGAAAACAAAAUCUAUUACAAUUGUCUUUGGGGGUAACCAUUAGAUUCUCGUUAUUCUCAGCAGAAUUUUAGCUACUACCUAUAUUUAAAAGCGUGAUUACCUCCAUAUUUACAGAGCUUUUCCUAAGUACAAUAUAUUUGCAAAUUUUUGUCAUUCAUUGUAAAAGGCGAAAUUUAAGCACUGCAAGAAGGAAAAAAAAAAGGGAGGAAAAGAAAACGGGGACAUAAUGCAGGCGAUAAAAGAAAAAAUACAAGAAAUAAGUUCCAUGCGCAAAGCAAAAUCUGAGGCCAAGGAACAAGAGAAGGAAGAAAAAGAGAUAGCAGAUGUUAGAAAGGGUAUUGCGAAAGAGGUAAGGAAGGCCAAAGAGGCUGAAGCAGCUGUGGAAAUACAUACUGCCAAAGCAGACGAGUUAGCCAAAAAGGAGAUAGCUAAGAAUUUAGCUAACCAACACCACCACUAAUAAUGAAUAUUAUGCCAUUAGUUGGACAUAGUCUUAAAAAAAGAUGAAUACACCCUUCAAAAACAUUGGGGGAUAAAUAGGUUAUGUUGCAAUAUGCUCCAUCUUUUAUUGAAUUGAGGAUAUUCAAAUUUAUAUCCUCCUUAAGAAUGUUAAUUUACUAGAUCAUAGCAAUAGAUUCUUGUUAAUUACAUGUUCCACAAUGGAUUGCAUACAAUGGGUGUAUACUAUAAUUCUAUACAAUGAGUUUUGGUCCCUCUAAA
Molecule: long non-coding RNA, 4552 nt
Organism: Beta vulgaris subsp. vulgaris (sugar beet)
Lineage: Eukaryota; Viridiplantae; Streptophyta; Magnoliopsida; Caryophyllales; Amaranthaceae
Exons: 4
Source: RefSeq, a predicted model, not a curated record